GCGGGUGUAGCUUAAUGGUAGAGCUCGGGUUUUCCAAACCUGCGACGAGGGUUCGAUUCCCUUCGCCCGCUCCA
Molecule: transfer RNA, 74 nt
Filed under: Candidatus Uhrbacteria bacterium
Lineage: Bacteria; Candidatus Uhriibacteriota
Description: tRNA-Gly
Rfam family: tRNA
About the family: Transfer RNA (tRNA) molecules are approximately 80 nucleotides in length.
Source: RNAcentral